UGAGGAAUAUUGGUCAAUGGGCGGAAGCCUGAACCAGCCAAGUCGCGUGAGGGAAGAAGGCCCUGCGGGUCGCAGACCUCUUUGGACGGGGAGCAAGGCCACCGACGUGUCGGCGGAAGGAGAGUACCCGUAGAACAAGCAUCGGCUAACUCCGUGCC
This 158-nucleotide ribosomal RNA is filed under the name uncultured bacterium. Its description in RNAcentral is "partial 16S ribosomal RNA". It matches the Rfam family "Bacterial small subunit ribosomal RNA", at positions 355 to 509 of the family's 1533-position model. The record is from RNAcentral.